RNAcentral lists this ribosomal RNA (460 nucleotides) under uncultured bacterium. RNAcentral's name for it is "partial 16S ribosomal RNA". It matches the Rfam family "Bacterial small subunit ribosomal RNA", at positions 338 to 795 of the family's 1533-position model. The record is from RNAcentral.
CCUACGGGAGGCUGCAGUGAGGAAUAUUGGUCAAUGGACGAGAGUCUGAACCAGCCAAGUAGCGUGAAGGAUGACUGCCCUAUGGGUUGUAAACUUCUUUUAUAUGGGAAUAAAAUGUUCCACGUGUGGGAUUUUGUAUGUACCAUAUGAAUAAGGAUCGGCUAACUCCGUGCCAGCAGCCGCGGUAAUACGGAGGAUCCGAGCGUUAUCCGGAUUUAUUGGGUUUAAGGGGAGCGUAGGUGGAUUGUUAAGUCAGUUGUGAAAGUUUGCGGCUCAACCGUAAAAUUGCAGUUGAAACUGGCAGUCUUGAGUACAGUAGAGGUGGGCGGAAUUCGUGGUGUAGCGGUGAAAUGCUUAGAUAUCACGAAGAACUCCGAUUGCGAAGGCAGUUCACUGGACUGCAACUGACACUGAGGCUCGAAAGUGUGGGUAUCAAACAGGAUUAGAUACCCUUGUAGUC